This is a non-coding RNA of Parelaphostrongylus tenuis, 64 nucleotides long. NCBI's taxonomy places the organism in Eukaryota, Metazoa, Nematoda, Chromadorea, Rhabditida, Metastrongylidae. The record is from the annotation of a GenBank genome assembly.
GUAGUGCAAUGGUUAGCACGCGCUCCCGGAAAGGGUGAAAUUUGGGUUCGAAUCCCAUCCGCCG